RNAcentral lists this ribosomal RNA (491 nucleotides) under Diaporthe sp. Pcs010. RNAcentral's name for it is "eukaryotic LSU rRNA". The stretch from base 177 to 330 matches the Rfam family "5.8S ribosomal RNA". Lineage: Eukaryota; Fungi; Ascomycota; Sordariomycetes; Diaporthales; Diaporthaceae. The record is from RNAcentral.
CUGGAACGCGCCCCAGGCGCACCCAGAAACCCUUUGUGAACUUAUACCUUACUGUUGCCUCGGCGCAUGCCGGCCCCCCCGGGGGCCCCUCGGAGACGAGGAGCAGGCACGCCGGCGGCCAAGUUAACUCUUGUUUUUACACUGAAACUCUGAGAAAAAAAACACAAAUGAAUCAAAACUUUCAACAACGGAUCUCUUGGUUCUGGCAUCGAUGAAGAACGCAGCGAAAUGCGAUAAGUAAUGUGAAUUGCAGAAUUCAGUGAAUCAUCGAAUCUUUGAACGCACAUUGCGCCCUCUGGUAUUCCGGAGGGCAUGCCUGUUCGAGCGUCAUUUCAACCCUCAAGCAUUGCUUGGUGUUGGGGCACUGCCUGUAAAAGGGCAGGCCCUGAAAUCUAGUGGCGAGCUCGCCAGGACCCCGAGCGCAGUAGUUAAACCCUCGCUUUGGAAGGCCCUGGCGGUGCCCUGCCGUUAAACCCCCAACUUCUGAAAAU